CCUACGGGUGGCAGCAGUGGGGAAUAUUGCGCAAUGGGCGAAAGCCUGACGCAGCGACGCCGCGUGAGGGAUGAAGGUCUUCGGAACGUAAACCUCUGUCAGCAGGGAAGAACGGUCACUGUGCUAAUCAGCAGUGAAUUGACGGUACCUGCAAAGGAAGCACCGGCUAACUCCGGGCCAGCAGCUGCGGUAAUACGGAGGGUGCGAGCGUUAAUCGGAAUUACUGGGCGUAAAGCGAUCGUAGGCGGUAGGUCAAGUCAAGGGUGAAAUCCCCGCGCUCAACGUGGGAACUGCCUUUGAAACUGGCAGACUGGAGUGUGUGAGAGGAUAGUGGAAUUCCAGGUGUAGGAGUGAAAUCCGUAGAUAUCUGGAGGAACAUCAGUGGCGAAGGCGACUAUCUGGCACAUAACUGACGCUGAGGAGCGAAAGCGUGGGUAGCAAACAGGAUUAGAUACCCGGGUAGUC
Molecule: ribosomal RNA, 465 nt
Filed under: uncultured bacterium
Lineage: Bacteria
Description: partial 16S ribosomal RNA
Rfam family: Bacterial small subunit ribosomal RNA
Source: RNAcentral